Molecule: long non-coding RNA, 3529 nt
Filed under: Macaca mulatta (Rhesus monkey)
Lineage: Eukaryota; Metazoa; Chordata; Mammalia; Primates; Cercopithecidae
Description: lncRNA (ENSMMUG00000052095.1)
Source: RNAcentral
AUGCUGAAUACUCCGGGGAAUCCUUUUUUUUUUUUUUUUUUUAAUAUCUAUUUUACCCCUUCGGGAAUCCUGAGAACGGCGCGGCAGUGGAAACGGGCUCAGGCGACCUGUCCCGCCAGGCAGUUGUCGCACAGCACCCCCGCCCGCAUCAUCCCAGCGAGGCCUGCGUGUCCUCUGCACACCACCAGUGCAGGUGGGGCCCUUCCUGUCUGGGAGUCCCUGCUCUCCGCAGCUGGGGGGACAAAGCCUCCACUGGGGCUCAGCCAUCACCCAGGAGUUCCCUGGGGUCAGAGCCUGGAGGAAGAGUGCCCCGAACCUGCUGACCCUCUCUGGCCCAGAGCUGUGGACACUGCUGGUUCUGUGAGUUUGUUUUCCUGGUUGAGCAACACCAGACGAUGGUGUUGGGCCAAAACUGGUCCCAUAUUAUGCUACUAUAUCUUACUCCAUUGCCCAGGCUGGAGUGCACUGACACAAUCACGGCUCACUGCAGCCUUGACUUUCCCGGCUCAAGGGAUCCUCCCACCUCAGCCUCCUGAGUAGCUGCUUACUAGGCACAUGCCACCAUUCCUGGUUAACUUUUGUAUUUUUGGUAGAGAUGGGGUUUCACCAUGUUGCCCAGGCUGGUCUUGAACUCCUGGGCUCAAUCUAUCUGCCCUCCUCCACCCCCCAAAGUGCAAAGGGAUUACAGAUGUGAGCCACUGUGUCCAACCAUCUUAUGCUGUUGCAUCUUGGCGAAUGAAAUGGCCUGACUUUCCCCUCUGGCAGACCCUGAUUUUAAUGAGCCAGUGCUGUGUUGUGGCCACAGCAGGUGUUCAGGAAGGGCAAGGCGGAGCUGUCAGCAGGGCUCUUGGCAUGGGCAAACCCAGGCCUCAGCGGGGUGUCCAUGCUGCUGUGGCACCCUGCCACUGUAGCAGCUCAGGGUCCUGGAGAGCAGGUGCUAGAGAGUGUGGUGGCUCUGCCACACACACACACGAGGCCCAACACUCCCACUACAGACAAGACAGACAGAUGGUGGUGCUCACAGAGGACUCCAUGCCACCGCUGUGUCUGCCACUUGGGAAAGUCUCUUCUCCUCUGGACUGUUCCUUUACUGCAUGACCUCACUCUGCCCCUUCUGUUCUCAAUCCCUGCAGCGUUCCUAGUGUUUACAGGGCCCUUCGCUCCAUUCCUCUUGGGAUGCUGCAGAGCAAAGUGGUUAAGGGUGAGGGUUCCUCUGCCUGAUUACCUGAGUCUGUGUAAUCUGGGGCAAAGCACUUCACCUCUCUGUGCCUCAGCGUCCUCAUUUCUAAAAUGGGGAGAAGUAAGAGGCCCUGUCUCACAAGAUUAAAUGAGACAGUGCAUGUAAAGGAUGCUAGCCAUGUGGUAAGCCCUUACUAAAUAGUAGCUAUUAUUAUUAUUAUUAGAGACAGAGUCCCACUCUGUUGCCCAGGCUGGAGUGCAGUGGCAUGAUAUUGGCUCACUGCAACCUCCACUUCCUGGGUUCAAGCGAUUUUCCUGCCUCAGCCUCCCAAGUAGCUGAGAUUACAGGCAUGUGCCACCAAACCUGGCUAAUUUUUGUUUGUUUGUUUAAUAAAGACGGGGUUUCACCAUGUUGGCUAGACUGGUCUUGAACUCCUGACCUCAGAUGUUCUGCCUGCCUGGGUCUUCCAAAGUGCUGUGAUUACACAUGUGAGCCACCACACGUGGCCUAGUAGAUAUCAUUAUUGCUAUAACUCUUUUUUUUUUUUUUUUUUUUGAGACAGGGACUUGCUCUGUCGCUCAGGCUGGAGUGCAGUGGUGUGAUCACUGCUCACUGCAGCCUCAACACUCUGGGCUCAAGGGAUCCUCCUGCCUCAGCCUCCCAAAUAGCUGGGACUAGAGGCAUGUGCCACCAUGCCCAGCUAUUUUUAUUUUUUUAUUUUAUUUUAAAGACAGAGUUUCACUCUUGUUGCCCAGGCUGGAGUGCAAUGGUGUGAUCUUGGCUCACCACCACAACCUCCGCCUCCCGGGUUCAAGGGAUUCUCCCACCUUAGCCUCCUGAGUAGCUGGGAUUACAGGUAUGCACCACCACGCCUGGCUAAUUUUGUAUUUUUAGUAGAGAUGGGGUUUCUCCAUGUUGGUCAGGCUGAUCUUGAACUCCCGACCUCAGAUGAUCUGCCUACCUCAGCCUCCCAAAGUGCUGGGAUUACAGGCAUGAGCCACCACGCCCAGCCUAUAUAUAUAUAUAUAUAUAUAUAUAUAUAUAUUUUUUUUUUUUUUUUUUUUUAAUUUUUAGUAGAGAUGAGGUCUCGCUUUCUUGCCCAGGCUGAUCUUGAACUCCUGGGCUCAAGUGAUCCUCCUGCCUUGAUCUCCCAAAGUGCUGGGAUUACAGGCAUGAGCCACCAGGCCUGGCUAUUGCUAUUAUUCUUGAUUAACAAUAAAAAGAGAAGGAGCUCUUACUAAUUGCCAAGCAAUGUGCUAAACUCUAGAUGAUCCUUUUCUUGUUUGGUCCCUUCAACAACUCUGUGAGGCAAGUGCUAUUAUUAGCUCCGUAGCUGGGAAGAGGAAGCUCAGGUACAAUGGUGUUAAGUAACUUACCCAGGGUGACAGAGCUAAGAAGCAGCAGCUCUGAAUCAGAACCAGAGUAUGGCCACUGCGAAGUCUCACGACCUGCUCCUCUCCACUGAAAGAAGAUUUCACCAUAGGAAGGAGGAGCUUCUCUCCAGCUGGUUGUCCUGAAUAGAUUUGAGAGGCCUAGAAGAAGAUCGUAUUGAGGGGACAGAACCCCCACAUCCCCAGCUAGAGCAGAAGGAGGGGUUUGGGCUCAAAGGAAGUGAAGUUUUUUUUUCUUUUACAGCUAUCGAUGAAACCACUUCGUACGGUAGGCUGUGGUCUUAUGGAUGGCCUCCGAAAGGUAUCACCAAGGGUUUUUUGGUUGUUUUUUUGAGAGGGAGCCUCGCUCUGUCACUCAGGCUGGAGUGCAGUGGCUCGAUCUCGGCUCACUGCAGCCUCCGCCUCCCAGGUUCAAGCGAUUCUUCUGCCUCAGCCUCCCUAGUAGCUGAGAUUAUAGGUACGCACUACCACACUCGACUAAUUUUUUGUAUUUUUAGUAGAGACAGGGUUUCGCCAUGUUGACCAGGCUGGUCUCAAACUUGACUUCAAGUGAUCCACCACCUCGGCCUCCCAAAGUGUUGGGGUUAAAGGUGUGAGCCACCACGCCUGGCCUUUUUUUUUUUUUUUUUUUUUUCUUUUAGAGACAGGAUCUCACUCUGUCACCCAGGCUGGAGUGCAGUGACACAAUCUCAGCUCACUGCAGCCUUGACUUCCCAGGCUCAAGCCAUCCUCCCACCUCAGCUCCCAAGUAGCUGGGACUACAGACGUGUGCCACCACUCUUGCUAACUUUUGUAUUUUUUUUUUUUUUGGAGAUGGAGUUUCACUCUUGUUGCCCGGGCUGGAGUGCAAUGGCAUGAUCUCAGCUCACUGCAACCUCUGCCUCCCGCGUUCAAGCGAUUUUCCUGCCUCAGCCUCCCUGAAUAGCUGGGAUUACAGGCAUGAGCCACCACGCCCAGC